RNAcentral lists this ribosomal RNA (479 nucleotides) under uncultured bacterium. Its description in RNAcentral is "bacterial SSU rRNA". It matches the Rfam family "Bacterial small subunit ribosomal RNA", at positions 28 to 508 of the family's 1533-position model. The record is from RNAcentral.
GAUGAACGCUAGCGGCAGGCUUAACACAUGCAAGUCGAGGGGUAUUUGUCUUCGGGCAGAGAGACCGGCGCACGGGUGCGUAACGCGUAUGCAAUCUACCUUUCACAGAGGGAUAGCCCAGAGAAAUUUGGAUUAAUACCUCAUGGUAUUAUGAAAUGGCAUCAUUUUAUAAUUAAAGUCACAACGGUGAAAGAUGAGCAUGCGUCCCAUUAGCUAGUUGGUAAGGUAACGGCUUACCAAGGCUACGAUGGGUAGGGGUCCUGAGAGGGAGAUCCCCCACACUGGUACUGAGACACGGACCAGACUCCUACGGGAGGCAGCAGUGAGGAAUAUUGGACAAUGGGCGCAAGCCUGAUCCAGCCAUGCCGCGUGCAGGAUGACGGUCCUAUGGAUUGUAAACUGCUUUUAUACGAGAAGAAACACUCCCUCGUGAGGGAGCUUGACGGUAUCGUAAGAAUAAGGAUCGGCUAACUCCGUGC